UGGCUUUGUCCUAAGUGAAACUUGUCUAACUUUAACCAAAUAUUUGGAAGAAUAUAUUAAUAUCUACAAGCUCAAAUAAAUGCACCAUCAAACAUCAUAGAAAGUUUAAUUAAACAAAAUUUGAUGUUAUAAAUGUUGAUGCAUUUUUCUAUAAACUUGGUUGGAGUUAGAGAAGUUUGAAUUAGGAUAAGCCAAA
This 196-nucleotide microRNA precursor is filed under the name Sorghum bicolor (sorghum). Its description in RNAcentral is "MIR1435 microRNA precursor family". It matches the Rfam family "MIR1435 microRNA precursor family". Lineage: Eukaryota; Viridiplantae; Streptophyta; Magnoliopsida; Poales; Poaceae. The record is from Rfam by way of RNAcentral.